CCUACGGGCGGCAGCAGUGAGGAAUAUUGGUCAAUGGACGAGAGUCUGAACCAGCCAAGUAGCGUGAAGGAUGACUGCCCUAUGGGUUGUAAACUUCUUUUAUAUGGGAAUAAAAUGUUCCCCGUGUGGGAUUUUGUAUGUACCAUAUGAAUAAGGAUCGGAUAACUCCGUGCCAGCAGCCGCGGUACUACGGAGGAUCCGAGCGUUAUCCGGAUUUAUUGGGUUUAAAGGGAGCGUAGGUGGAUUGUUAAGUCAGUUGUGAAAGUUUGCGGCUCAACCGUAAAAUUGCAGUUGAAACUGGCAGUCUUGAGUACAGUAGAGGUGGGCGGAAUUCGUGGUGUAGCGGUGAAAGGCUUAGAUAGCACGAAGAACUCCGAUUGCGAAGGCAGCUCACUGGACUGCAACUGACACUGAGGCUCGAAAGUGUGGGUAUCAAACAGGAUUAGAUACCCCAGUAGUC
This 460-nucleotide ribosomal RNA is filed under the name uncultured bacterium. Its description in RNAcentral is "partial 16S ribosomal RNA". It matches the Rfam family "Bacterial small subunit ribosomal RNA", at positions 338 to 795 of the family's 1533-position model. The record is from RNAcentral.